UUGUCCAAUGUUUAUUCAAACAAGGUUGGGGGUGAACCUAAAGGAGAUUGAAGAAUCUCCUCCAACCCCGUGUAUGGGUUGUUUUGUUUCUUUCCUGAAGCUUCCUGUAAGAGGUUCUUUUGAAAAGUUCCCACUCGCCAAAUUGAACAAGUAUCUGUACCUACAAAAAAAGCCAACCAGGAACCUGGAGAAGAUGUGGGGAUGGUGGUAAUCCAAAGAAGGAGCCUUAACCUGAGCCUCUGCCUUAGGAGACAGACCCACCCCCACCCCCUGCCCUAGUGGGAGUGAGUGUCACCCCAUAGCCUGGGUCCUCUGAUACUGUCUCAGGCACCACCUUGGUUGCACAUGUGCCCUCCAGGCCUACCACAGAUAGAUGCCCCACCCUCUAACCCAAUAUCCCUUGGGAUUAGCCUCUGGACUCCUGCCUCCCUCGCCCACCUGGAUGGCAGGCCCAUACAGAAGCAAAACAUAGUCACCUUAGACUCUGGCGUACUGAGUCCUAACCUUCCUGCCAACUGAUUUCUCAAUAAAGAUGUUGUUAAAUAGAA
This is a long non-coding RNA of Suricata suricatta (meerkat), 548 nucleotides long. RefSeq lists it as uncharacterized. Lineage: Eukaryota; Metazoa; Chordata; Mammalia; Carnivora; Herpestidae. The transcript is spliced from 2 exons. The record is from RefSeq and is a predicted model, not a curated record.